This 100-nucleotide microRNA precursor is filed under the name Canis lupus familiaris (dog). RNAcentral describes it as "mir-8799 microRNA precursor family". It matches the Rfam family "mir-8799 microRNA precursor family". RNAcentral also lists the same sequence under 1 other name. Lineage: Eukaryota; Metazoa; Chordata; Mammalia; Carnivora; Canidae. The record is from Rfam by way of RNAcentral.
AGGGGAUCGCCAGAUCCUGGGCUUUGUUACCCGGGGCCCUGGGCUCCCGGGCCUGCGCCGCUGGAAUCGCUCUCCCCUCCUGCGGGCCACGCAUUCCCCU